This 356-nucleotide ribosomal RNA is filed under the name Brevundimonas bullata. Its description in RNAcentral is "bacterial SSU rRNA". It matches the Rfam family "Bacterial small subunit ribosomal RNA", at positions 123 to 513 of the family's 1533-position model. The record is from RNAcentral. Lineage: Bacteria; Pseudomonadati; Pseudomonadota; Alphaproteobacteria; Caulobacterales; Caulobacteraceae.
AACGUGCCUUUAGGUUCGGAAUAGCUCCUGGAAACGGGUGGUAAUGCCGAAUGUGCCCUUCGGGGGAAAGAUUUAUCGCCUUUAGAGCGGCCCGCGUCUGAUUAGCUAGUUGGUGAGGUAAUGGCUCACCAAGGCGACGAUCAGUAGCUGGUCUGAGAGGAUGACCAGCCACAUUGGGACUGAGACACGGCCCAAACUCCUACGGGAGGCAGCAGUGGGGAAUCUUGCGCAAUGGGCGAAAGCCUGACGCAGCCAUGCCGCGUGAAUGAUGAAGGUCUUAGGAUUGUAAAAUUCUUUCACCGGGGACGAUAAUGACGGUACCCGGAGAAGAAGCCCCGGCUAACUUCGUGCCAGCA